CAGCCGCCGCGGUAAUACGGAGGGAGCUAGCGUUAUUCGGAAUUACUGGGCGUAAAGCGCACGUAGGCGGCUUUGUAAGUUAGAGGUGAAAGCCUGGAGCUCAACUCCAGAAUUGCCUUUAAGACUGCAUCGCUUGAAUCCAGGAGAGGUGAGUGGAACUCCGGGUGUAGAGGUGAAAUUCGUAGAUAUUCGGAAGAACACCAGUGGCGAAGGCGGCUCACUGGACUGGUAUUAACGCAGAGGUGCGAAAGCGUGGGGAGCAAACAGGAUUAGAUACCCGCGUAGUCCCUGUCUCUUAUAA
This 301-nucleotide ribosomal RNA is filed under the name uncultured bacterium. RNAcentral's name for it is "partial 16S ribosomal RNA". It matches the Rfam family "Bacterial small subunit ribosomal RNA", at positions 509 to 809 of the family's 1533-position model. The record is from RNAcentral.